UGGAGGAAGUGAUUAAAGGGAAAGGCGAGACUUGGCGCGAGAUAGCCUGAGCGGCUAGGUGAGGCAACCUUGGGAGGGGGUGGGCCGGAGGGUGGGGCCGCGCAGCUACUAGAUUUCGGCUUCCAAAUCUUGCCGCCUUGCUAGAGAUCUAGGACUCUGAGAGUUUCCCAGGACCACUUGCAGACUGUUUGAUUCCACCAGUGGUUUUAGAGAAACUACUCUGUGGCAGGCCUGUGCUAGGCACAAUAUGGGGAGACGAUGUUGAGGAGCUCUCUCCAGCCGGAGAGAUGUGGCGUAUAGAAGGGGCCGGGAGGUUGAUGUCUAACGAAAGGAUGGAGAGUUGUGGACCGCGGCUCUAGAAAGCAGAGGCCAAAGAGAGAGAGAGUUGGGCCCUGGGAGAAGGAGUGCCCUUCCAGUCAGCCCCACCACGCCCGGAUUGCUGGAGGGAGCUGUUGGCCCUGGGAGCCAAUAAGGAGUCUUUAAGGAUCACCAGCCAGCUCAGGGCCAGAAGGGGGCUGGGCACUAUGGAGAAGUGGGGCCCAUGCCCUGGAGGACGCUGCUCAGCUGAGACACUGCUAGUUCCAGACCAUUAUUGUUUCUGCAGGCCAGGCUUCAACAGCAUGUGAACCGAGAACUUCCAG
This is a long non-coding RNA of Capra hircus (goat), 641 nucleotides long. RefSeq lists it as uncharacterized. NCBI's taxonomy places the organism in Eukaryota, Metazoa, Chordata, Mammalia, Artiodactyla, Bovidae. The record is from RefSeq and is a predicted model, not a curated record. The transcript has 3 exons.